RNAcentral lists this ribosomal RNA (408 nucleotides) under Triticum aestivum (bread wheat). RNAcentral describes it as "partial small subunit ribosomal RNA". Lineage: Eukaryota; Viridiplantae; Streptophyta; Magnoliopsida; Poales; Poaceae. The record is from RNAcentral.
AUGCCACGCUGGGAGGCACCAGGAGGAGGAGGAGAGGUCGUGACCGACGGCGGAGGAGUGGCCGCGGCGGUGGAUGAAAGUUUGUGUCGCGUGGCGGCGUCGUGGACAUCGGCGCCGACUCCUGCACCUUCGGCUCGCCUUCCUCACCUUGCCGCCGCACCAUCGGCUCCUCCCUCUCGGCCUCCUCUUUCCCCACCCCUCUUUGUUGUACACGGCGGCAGGAGGGUCGCAUCUAAGAGUAGCUUCUCUGAUUCAUGUGAUUGUGUUUUCUUAGUUCAUUUUGCGCUAAUCCGUUGCUCGUCGCCUGUUCGUUUUUAUGCUGCAUCGUUGUAUGACUGUGUAUGCAUCUUGUAUUGCUGGUCUGAUUUUCCCCUUUUGACAACUCUCAUUAAAUCAUUCAACUACUGA